UACGGAGGGUGCAAACGUUGCUCGGAAUCAUUGGGCGUAAAGCGCACGUAGGCGGUUCUGCAAGUCGGGUGUGAAAGCCCUCGGCUCAACCGAGGAAGUGCAUCCGAAACUGCAGAACUUGAGUAGUGAAGAGGGUCUCGGAAUUCCCGGUGUAGAGGUGAAAUUCGUAGAUAUCGGGAGGAACACCAGCGGCGAAGGCGGAGACCUGGGCACAUACUGACGCUGAGGUGCGAAAGCGUGGGGAGCAAACAGG
RNAcentral lists this ribosomal RNA (253 nucleotides) under uncultured bacterium. RNAcentral describes it as "partial 16S ribosomal RNA". It matches the Rfam family "Bacterial small subunit ribosomal RNA", at positions 524 to 776 of the family's 1533-position model. The record is from RNAcentral.